RNAcentral lists this long non-coding RNA (1154 nucleotides) under Suricata suricatta (meerkat). Its description in RNAcentral is "lncRNA (ENSSSUG00005001367.1)". Lineage: Eukaryota; Metazoa; Chordata; Mammalia; Carnivora; Herpestidae. The record is from RNAcentral.
CUUUUCCUGUGUGUCCUUUUCAGAAUCAGGGAGGGAGGAGGGGAUGUUCCCUCCACAGUUCUCAACAGCCCUUGGCCUCAAGGGACCGUGGAGAAAUCAUGCCGGGGCUGGACCCGGGGAGGGACCACCAGGCUUCUCCAAGGUUGGGGCCAGACUGGGGCCAGACAGUCUGGGGGCUGUUGGUGCCCAUGAGACGUUGGUGCCCAGAGUUCGGUUUUCUCUCCCAGGUUUUAUUCUUCCCCAGCACCAGAAUUCCUGCAACCCCAACAAGCAAACGGGGCCCACUCACCUUAGGAGACAAUGUCUGGACGUCUUUCCCUGUUCAUAUAUGCGAUCCAGAAAGUCAUUUGUGAAUUAAAGGGAAUGGAACAUUAAGAGGGAAGAAGUAGGCCUGAAGAUUUUCCAUAAGCCUGCCAGUGUGCCACGUACAACGUGCCAGGGUGCCACGUACAAAUGUGCCAGGGUGUCACAACCUGCCAGCGUCCCACACACAACCUGCCGCUGUGCCACGUUCUGUAAUGCCAUACACUCUCUCUGGUGCUGUUCUGUUUCACCUUUCAGAGGGAAGCUCCUGUCUUUAUUCUGUCAUAACCUACCUUCGAGGAGGUAUUUUCUUUACUUUCCUUCUACGUUACGAACUAUUUUGCAGUUUUAACUAGGUAAAAUAAUUUUACCAAUUUACUGUGAGUAAAUUGGUAAAAACUAAAAAAAUAUGUAGAAUUUAAUACAAAUGCAAGGUUCCCAUUUGCACCCUCUGGGGCAGCUGUAAUAGAAAAGGUAAAGUGUUGAGGAUGUGGGGAGAUCGAAGCCCUCUUGCGCUGCUGAUGGAAAAGUCAGAUGGUGUGGCUGCUGAGAGACGCAGUCCGGCGGUUCCUCUAAAGGGUCAGCAAAGUUCCUUCUGACUCAGCAGCUCCCCGCUCUGGGGCUGGAGACAUGUCCACACAAAAAGGUGAACACGAGUGUUCGUAGCAGUUUGUAUCGCAGUGUCUGUCACAGCAUUGUGACAGCCCCCACCCAAAUAUGCAUCCAGGGAUGGAUGGAUAAAUAAAAUGAGAUUUUGCCAUAAAAUGGAAUGUCAUUCAGGCACAGAAAGGAACAAAGUGCAUUCAUGCUACCACAUGGAUGAGCCUUAAAAACAUGCUAAAUGAAAGAAC